Long non-coding RNA from Thunnus maccoyii (southern bluefin tuna), 1389 nucleotides. RefSeq lists it as uncharacterized. The transcript is spliced from 2 exons. Lineage: Eukaryota; Metazoa; Chordata; Actinopteri; Scombriformes; Scombridae. The record is from RefSeq and is a predicted model, not a curated record.
UCUCAAGUCUGAUCUUUAAGAGGUAGACCGAAGCUGAUACCUAAAAUUAUGUGAUAUAUAGCCAUGUAUAAGAUACAAAGUCUGAAAACUUAAAGAAUGCAACAUUUGGGGUUACAGCUUCCUGUCAAAGUUAUAGUACUUCUGUAACUUGUGAAGUACUAAAGCGGCUGUUUUGUUAGCGAGAUAGAAAUAAACUCCAAACUGAACCAGUCAGUUUCUUCCUGGGAUUACACAGAGGAAUCAUGAAUUAUUAAACAUGUACACAUAUUACAGUAUCACCACCCCCAUUAUUCCAUUUUGAGACACUUUAUAUAGUUUUAAUGAGAUGAGUAAUACCCAAAUUGUACCACCAAAGCAUCCUUGUUAAAGCAUGAAAACACUGUAGAAGCAUUUCACUGUAGCUGUAUCAGGAUCAGGUUUUAAGGAUCAAAUUUAAAUCAGCUGUUCACUAAUCAGAUCAGCACAACAUUGUUUUUUACAUGUUACACCAAUUAGUUGAAAGCAGUUUUUCAAGCCAAUAAAAAACCUGCAGUUAAUGAAAUAUGAAAGAACAAAGGAAGUAUAGACCCAAGCUCCAGAUGAGUUCCCUUACAUGAGCAGACCCAAAAUCAUCACCAGUGGCCAGCUCACAGUUGUCAGAAGAUGUGCCAUAGAGCUGAGAGGAGGGCUUCACUGGCAGCGCUCCACCUGGCCGAGCCAGUGUGCUGCAUCUGGGAAGGACAGGGAAGCACGCUUAAAUGGAGGGAAGACUGCAGGGACAUGAAGACCGUUACCACCGCUUUUAUUUCCUCAAGGCUGGACGACUGUAACUCACUGUAUCUGGGUGUUGGCCAGUCUUCUCUGUCUCCCAAUAAGAGAAACAGCAUUGCACUGAUACUAGCAUCCCUGCACUGGCUACCUGUCAAAUACAGGAGUGAUUUCAAGGUUCUCUUAUUUGUUUUUAAAGUCAUACAUGGGCUGGCAUCCCUACUCCAACUCCGCUUAGAUCCCCACAACAAUUGUUUUUAGUUUGUUUCACGAUGGAGGCUCAAGGGUAGGGGAGAUCUUGCCUUUGCAGUUGCAGCUCCAAAGCUUUGAAAUAGUGUUCCGCUUUCAAGUUCCCCCUCUACUGACACCUUUAACACAAAUCUCAAGACUUACAUUUUUUCAGCGGCCUUUGGAUGCUUUCACUGGUUUCAGUAUUUUUAUAAUCUUUAUUUAUCUACAUAUUUAUUUAAUUACAUUUAUUCUGUUUUCUGUCUUACUUUGGUGCAUAUUUAUAAUUGCCUUUCCUUGUUGUCUUCUAUUCGUGCCUUUUACUACCGAUGUCAUUUCAUUCUCUACUGUUUCAUUGUAAUUUGCACAGCACAUGUGCUCUGUAAAUAAACUUGACUUGAUACUUAACAUACA